CACAUAUGGAGAUAUAUGCUCCAACACCUUAUAAACCCGAACAGAUGUAGUACACGACACUAUGUCAGUGUAAAGGACUGCUUUUGUACAUCUCCUGAACGGAGGCAGGCAGCAGGCAGCGCCGCACUAGCGGCGCGGCGGCACGGGGCCGGCGGCUAACUGGGGCGGCGCGGCAGCACGGGGGCCGACAGUCAACUCAACCAAUUGAUCACAAUUUUCCACCAAAUAAAGAUGAAAGGUGCUUUCGGCCAACAUGGUAUAAGGACUUUGAUUGGUUGGAAUAUGGUGUAGAAAAGGAAAAGGCUCACUGCUUUGAUUGUUUUGUUUUUAAGCAUGAUCGAAUGGAUGAUAAAUUUGGUUAUGAGGUUUUCUCCAAAUCGGGGUAAGACAAUUGGAAAAAUGCAGUUGCAGCAUUUCGUAAACAUGUUGGUGGGUCAUGUAGCAUCCACAAUAUUUCAAGGACAACAAGUGAUGAUUUCAAGACUCAAAAGGCAAGUUUGAAAAGUAAAGUAACAACUUACAACAAAGGCUCACUCGAGAAAUAUGGAACUCAUGUAGACACAUCUUUGGGCAUUGUAAGUUAUCUUGCAUUACAAGGUGAACCAUUUCGUGGACAUGAUGAAUCCACUACUUCUUUGAACAACGGAAAUUUUUAGAGUUACUUGAUUGGGUAAAGUUGCUACCUUCUGACCAUGAGGUCUUGGGUUCAAGUCCUGGAAAUAGCCUCUUGCAGAAAUGUAGGGAAAGGCUGCGUACAAUAGACCCAAAGUGGUUGGACACUUUCCGGGACCCUACGCAAGCGGGAGCUACAUGCAGCGGGCUGUCCCUUUUUUUUACUUGAUUGGGUCAAAGAAAGGAAUCCAAAAGUGAAGGUUGCAUUUGAUGAGCUAUGUCCUAAAAAUGUCAAAAUGUCUUCUGGAGUCAUUCAAAAAGCGCUUGCUAAGCAUUGUGCAAUGGCAGUCACCAAAGCAAUCAAAGAAGAGAUGGAUGGUUGCCUUCUCUCUGUUCUUAUUGAUGAGUGUCGUGAUAUUUCGGUGAAAGAACAAAUGGCCGUGGUUGUGAGGUUCAUGUUAGUAUUUUAAGUAGUUUUGAGUUUGUUCUAUGUAGAAUAAUAUGGUGAGUCAACUAAUUGUAUGAUUUUCAUGUAGGUUUUUGAGAAAAAAAGAGAGACCAUGGAAAGGUUUUUGGGCAUUAAGCAUGUUCCACACACAACAUCAACAUCUUUGAAGAAGUCAUUAUUGAAGGUUUUUGCUAAGCAUGGUGUGCUUGUUGCAAGACUACGAGGGCAAGGGCAAUGUCAUUGGUUAUGGACGUGAGAACAUGUUUGAUCAAUUGGAGAAAUGAUGGUUGGGAGACACUCUUGGAAGAUGUUAAAGCAUUUUGCACCAAAGAUGACAUUCCAAUACCAAAUAUGGAUGACAUGUUUACAAAAUGGGGGAAAUCAAGAAAAGGUGGAAGAAACAAUAUCACUGCUGGUCAUUUUUUCGUGUGGACACCUAUGUUGCUAUAGACUCCGUCACUACAGAGUUUGAUCAUCGUUUCAAUGAGGUAUCUUCAGAACUGCUCCAAAACUUCUCUUGUCUUGACCCAAGAAACUCCUUUUCUAGGUUCAAUGUGGUUAAGCUUGCAUGACUCACAGAGAUUUAUCGUGUUGAUUUAUCUAAUUAUGAAUGUGAACACAUAGAAGAUAACCUUGAGC
Molecule: long non-coding RNA, 1699 nt
Organism: Hordeum vulgare subsp. vulgare (domesticated barley)
Lineage: Eukaryota; Viridiplantae; Streptophyta; Magnoliopsida; Poales; Poaceae
Exons: 2
Source: RefSeq, a predicted model, not a curated record